This is a small nucleolar RNA of Capsicum annuum, 107 nucleotides long. NCBI's taxonomy places the organism in Eukaryota, Viridiplantae, Streptophyta, Magnoliopsida, Solanales, Solanaceae. The record is from RefSeq and is a predicted model, not a curated record.
UGAUGAUGGUCAGUGUAAUUUCUGAGCAUACCCUUAAACCUUUCCCAUGCUUGGUAAAGAUUUUUUCUUUUCUUAUGACUGAAACUCAGAAUCUGGCUUCUCAAACA